RNAcentral lists this ribosomal RNA (256 nucleotides) under uncultured bacterium. Its description in RNAcentral is "partial 16S ribosomal RNA". It matches the Rfam family "Bacterial small subunit ribosomal RNA", at positions 1066 to 1321 of the family's 1533-position model. The record is from RNAcentral.
CGUGAGAUGUUGGGUUAAGUCCCGCAACGAGCGCAACCCUUGUCCUUAGUUGCCAGCACGUAAUGGUGGGAACUCUAAGGAGACCGCCGGUGACAAACCGGAGGAAGGUGGGGAUGACGUCAAGUCAUCAUGGCCCUUACGGCCAGGGCUACACACGUACUACAAUGGUGGGGACAGAGGGCUGCAAGCCGGCGACGGUGAGCCAAUCCCAGAAACCCUAUCUCAGUCCGGAUUGGAGUCUGCAACUCGACUCCAG